Gasterosteus aculeatus aculeatus (three-spined stickleback) is the source of this 1959-nucleotide long non-coding RNA. NCBI's taxonomy places the organism in Eukaryota, Metazoa, Chordata, Actinopteri, Perciformes, Gasterosteidae. The record is from Ensembl.
AGUUUAAAGGUUAAUUACCUUUUUACCAUGGGAUGAUUUUUAUUAAGAAAUCCCAGUGAUUAUAUUAUGUUAAAUAGCUAUAUAUGUAUUUAUCUGUGUGUGUGUGCGCGCGUGUGUGUGCACGUGUAUGUAUGUAUGUAUAUAUAUAUAUAUUACAUUGUGUUGAGGGAGUUGGGGCAUUUUAUUUCCAGACUGAGAACAAUUAAUUGAUUUCUGUAAAAAAUUGUAUACAUUUCUCUCUGAUGACUGAAGUUUAAGGGUGAACGUAGUUUGAUUAUGAUCAAGGUGACCUCUGACCUUUCUUUAAUUCUACUAACCCGUAACCUUUUUUUUUUUUUUUUUUUUUUUUCCCUGCCUUCAGAGGUGUCGUGUCUUCGUGCUAAUUUGUUAAUUCUGUCAUUUCAAUUUUUAACAUUUUUAUAUACAUACUGAUUUGGGAGUAUUUUGUUAAUCUGUUGCCAUGGCAACGGUUUGUGGUUUAGUUGCGCAGCGCUUGAAUGAAGAGUGCGUUCAAAAGCCGUUAAUGGAGCGGACUCACUCUGAGGGAACGAGACGUCGCACAGGACGCAGAUACAACUGUACACCCCCCCCAUACGCACACACACGCACACACACACACACACACGCUGACAUCAUCACUUUUUAUACUGUCUGUCAGAUCCUUCAUGGAUUGUUGCGGUUUUUGUUUUUUUUUGAUCUGCGAAGCACUGUUUAUCUGUGUGAUUCAAAUGACGUUCCGGUGGACUGGACCUUGUUUCUAAUAUAACUGGUCUUCGCUGGCAGGCCAAGUACGAGUCGAGGGGCUUACGGAUCAUCCGUGUCAGCUGUCAUUUUUCACAUAACAACAUACGAGUGUUUGUCUAUAGUUCAGAGGAAAUAUAACUUUUUUUUGUGUGUGUAACCUGACUCUUUGUUUGAAAAGUGACCCGUCUUGUCUAUCUACAAGGACUUUCCCAGAACUCCAGUAUCUGUUGACAUUGGAUAGUACAGACCCAGCAACGCUCAAUAGUGUUUGCAAGAUUUUUUUAACUGGUUUCCGUUGUUCACUGUCGAAGACGUGGUUCCAGUUCCAACCAACAACGAUGCAUACUGUUGGGAAAGCCUUUGUACGGCCAAGUCCACGUCUGUCUGAAUGUGAUUCUCCCGUAUACAGUGAGUGUGACCAUACUCUGAUUAAAAGGUACAAGGAAACAUGAGAAUACACUGGGAAUGAAAAAUGUACACGUGCACUUGGAGCUUGAUUUCACUUACGUCUUUUCUAGUUCUUGUUCUUUCCUUUUGUUUUUAAAGAGUCGUCAUCGGGAGAUCCAACUCUACUGCCAUAAUGCCAGGAACAGUGCAGUUAUAUGGACAAUUGUAUAUGUGCCCAAUCACUGUGACUUAGUGACAUAAGAAAUUGACUGAGAAUUCUCCAGCAAGAAGAAGAUGCAUGCACCGUCUCUCAAGAUAUCUGUGGAUAUACAGUUAUAAUUUACUACUUUAAAUUUUUUCUUUCCAAUUAUUAUAUGGUGAAUGGAUUUUUUUAAAACACGGGGCAGCGUCAGGUCCUCACCCUGCAAAGCUAAAAAAAAAAGAAACGUCAAUGGCGAUUACUAGAUUCUCUUGUAGUUGUCAUUUGGAUCUGGUCUUUUCUCAGGAAUACUUUGUCGGGUGGAUAAGCUCUGGUUGUGAGGACCUUCCUCCCAGGCUGCAAACACCUCUGUUAAUAGACAAAUGUCAGCUAGAUAGGAACAUGAACAAAACAAUGAAAAAGAAGAUGGAACCAUAACCACGAACAUUCCUUGCUGGCUGACAGCUGAAUUAUUUUGGAUGAUAUGGAAAAGGUCAGUCAAUUUCCUGUUCCCUUUUCUGCUGUGCGUCCCGCUGGAAACAAGGUGUUCUAAUUUGGACUAAGUUGCUGUUGCCAUUGGUGUGGCUACUUGUGAUGUUGUAUUUAACAUGUGAAGGCCGGUCCAGAAA